Molecule: ribosomal RNA, 635 nt
Filed under: uncultured bacterium
Lineage: Bacteria
Description: bacterial SSU rRNA
Rfam family: Bacterial small subunit ribosomal RNA
Source: RNAcentral
UCCGCCUGGGGAGUACGGCCGCAAGGCUAAAACUCAAAGGAAUUGACGGGGCCCCGCACAAGCGGCGGAGCAUGCGGCUUAAUUCGAUGCAACCCGAAGAACCUUACCUGGACUUGACAUCAUGGGUCCGCCUGUGGAAACACAGGGUGCUUUUGCGCCCAUGACAGGUGGUGCAUGGCUGUCGUCAGCUCGUGUCGUGAGAUGUUGGGUUAAGUCCCGCAACGAGCGCAACCCUUGUCCUAUGUUGCCAGCGGUUCGGCCGGGGACUCAUAGGAGACUGCCGGGGACAACUCGGAGGAAGGCGGGGAUGACGUCAAGUCAUCAUGCCCCUUAUGUUCAGGGCUGCACGCAUGCUACAAUGGGCGGUACAACGGGCUGCGAUCCCGCGAGGGUGAGCGAAUCCCUGAAAACCGUCCUCAGUUCGGAUUGGAGUCUGCAACUCGACUCCAUGAAGCCGGAGUCGCUAGUAAUCGCGAAUCAGCAAUGUCGCGGUGAAUACGUUCUCGGGGCUUGUACACACCGCCCGUCACAUCACGGAAGUCGGUAACGCCCGAAGUCAGUGGCCUAACCUUUUUGGAGGGAGCUGCCGAAGGCGGGAUCGGCGACUGGGAUGAAGUCGUAACAAGGUAGCCGUA